AGUGAACGCUGGCGGUAGGCCUAACACAUGCAAGUCGAACGGCAGCACAGUAAGAGCUUGCUCUUACGGGUGGCGAGUGGCGGACGGGUGAGGCAUACAUCGGAAUCUACUUUUUCGUGGGGGAUAACGUAGGGAAACUUACGCUAAUACCGCAUACGACCUACGGGUGAAAGCAGUGGAUCUUCGGACCUUGCGCGAUUGAAUGAGCCGAUGUCGGAUUAGCUAGUUGGCGGGGUAAAGGCCCACCAAGGCGACGAUCCGUAGCUGGUCUGAGAGGAUGAUCAGCCACACUGGAACGGAGACACGGUCCAGACUCCUACGGGAGGCAGCAGUGGGGAAUAUUGGACAAUGGGCGCAAGCCUGAUCCAGCCAUACCGCGUGGGUGAAGAAGGCCUUCGGGUUGUAAAGCCCUUUUGUUGGGAAAGAAAAGCAGCAGGUUAAUACCCCGCUGUUCUGACGGUACCCAAAGAAUAAGCACCGGCUAACUUCGUG
Molecule: ribosomal RNA, 492 nt
Filed under: uncultured bacterium
Lineage: Bacteria
Description: partial 16S ribosomal RNA
Rfam family: Bacterial small subunit ribosomal RNA
Source: RNAcentral